RNAcentral lists this unclassified non-coding RNA (2870 nucleotides) under Polistes fuscatus (common paper wasp). Its description in RNAcentral is "potassium voltage-gated channel protein Shaker, transcript variant X1". The stretch from base 2532 to 2652 matches the Rfam family "Potassium channel RNA editing signal". The record is from RNAcentral. Lineage: Eukaryota; Metazoa; Arthropoda; Insecta; Hymenoptera; Vespidae.
UCGUUCGUUCGUUCGUUUAUUCGUACGAUAAUUUCCACGAAAUAUUUGUUUCAUUUUUUGGUGCUUAGUAUCAUACGAGAAGGUCGUUAUCGUGCCGGUUUUAAAAUCUAAAGGAUUACGCUCGGAAUCCUGGACUCUUGUUGUUGUUGGUUUUUCGUUGCUGGGAUAAAGAAGUUAAAAAAGGAAAAUAAAGAGGAAGAAAUAAGUAAAAAUAUAGUGCAGUGCGUAUAUCUACAAUUUACCUGUUUUCUCUCUUCUCCUCCCCUUGCCACGUCAUGCAUGACCGGUGAAAGUUCGCUUCAACGAGUGCAUUGAUCUACUGAAGUUAAGAGAGCACAGAGAAACGCAGGUGACGUAAAUCGAGACGGCGGCGUAUCGGCGAGAGAAAGCUUCGAGGAAGCUAAAGGAGGAGGAGGAGGAGAAGGAGGAGAAGGAGGGGGAGGAGGAGGUGGUGGCGGAAGAGGAAAAGGAAGAGGAAGACGUAAAGUGGCGUAAAAGAAGGAAGAGAAGAAGAAGGUCGACUUGGGCCGAACUUUUUCAUAGAAGAAGAAGGAGCAAUAGCAAAAGCAAAAGCAAAAGCAAAAGCAAAAGCAAAAGCAAAAGUAGAAGCAAAAGCAAAAGUAGAAGCAAAAGCAAAAGUAGAAGCGAUAGCACCGGCAAUAACGGCAGCUUGACGAAGAAAAGGUGGUGGUGGACGAGGGGGUCCAGGAGGGGGAGGGAGAGGAGGUUGAUGCGCGGGUGGAGGAGAAGAAGAAGAAUAGGAAGGAACUCUUGGUGCGUGUUAUUUGUGCAGAUAUCGUCGAAGAUAGAAAAAAUGUCAAAGGGAAAAGGGCUGGGAAUUCGAUAGGAAAAAUAUAUUUAUUAUUAUUAGUGUGAAAUCGUAAGUUGUUAUAGAAAAAGUGUUAAAUAAUAUAAUUUUAACGAGAAGGUUAUUAUAUAAUUAAAAGGAGUGAUUAAAAGGAGUGAUUCGUUGGGCCUUUUAAAAGGCUGUGAAGAUAUCAAGGAGGAUUAGAUGGUGGAGGUGCUCGAGGGCCUGGCUCUGGAGGCAACGGGGCCGUGCAGGGCACCUCGCACCUAUCCAGGGCCGGGCAAGCUAGCGGCCCAAAUAAGCGUCGCUUCUAUCGUCGACGCUGAUAUUUUAUUGAGACUCGUCUUCCCUCGUUGCUUAUUGGAGCCCAAGAAGGGCUCCUUAGUUCGGAGCGAGGCUGGCGAGCGCAAUGUGGCAAAGCGGCGGCAUUGGCGCCCAUGCGGCGAACAAUCCGUGGAUGAAGUUGAUGGGCAUCGUCCACAAGGAAAGGAGACAUCACGAUUCGGGUUCAGUUGCCGCCGCUGCAUCCGGGGUUCAGGGAUCGGCUACCACUGGGAGCAACGAUCGCACCCUCAAUCAAUCGCUGCCGAAACUCAGCAGCCAGGACGAGGAUGGGCCGAACCCUCACACCCAAUACACAGGCGUCACGCACUUCGAGCCCAUACCGCACGAUCAUGACUUUUGUGAGAGGGUCGUCAUCAACGUGAGUGGAUUACGGUUUGAGACACAACUGCGCACGCUAAACCAAUUCCCGGACACGCUGCUUGGCGAUCCGGCAAGGCGGCUUCGAUAUUUCGAUCCGCUUCGCAACGAAUAUUUCUUCGACCGGAACCGGCCUUCCUUCGAUGCGAUACUUUAUUAUUAUCAAAGCGGUGGUCGACUUCGCCGGCCAGUCAACGUUCCCCUCGAUGUGUUCUCCGAGGAAAUCAAAUUUUACGAAUUGGGCGAGCUUGCCACCAACAAGUUCAGGGAGGACGAGGGCUUCAUCAAAGAAGAGGAGAAGCCGCUGCCGUCGCACGAGUUCCAGAAGAAGGUCUGGUUGUUGUUCGAGUACCCGGAGAGCUCGCAGGGAGCCCGGGUGGUCGCCAUAAUAUCCGUGUUCGUGAUUCUUCUCUCGAUCGUAAUCUUCUGCCUAGAGACCCUGCCAGAGUUUAAGCAUUAUAAGGUCUUUAACACGACGACGAACGGCACGAAGAUCGAGGAGGACGAAGUGCCGGACAUAACGGACCCAUUCUUCCUAAUAGAGACUAUUUGUAUCAUCUGGUUCACGUUCGAGUUGUCCGUGCGCUUCCUCGCCUGCCCAAAUAAAUUUAACUUCUUCCGUGACGUAAUGAACAUCAUCGACAUCAUCGCGAUCAUUCCUUACUUCAUCACCCUCGCCACGGUAGUGGCCGAGGAAGAAGACACACUUAAUCUACCAAAGGCACCGGUUAGCCCUCAGGACAAGAGCACGAAUCAAGCAAUGUCCCUGGCGAUCUUACGAGUCAUCAGGCUCGUCAGGGUGUUCCGGAUAUUCAAGCUGUCCAGGCACAGUAAAGGCCUCCAGAUACUUGGCCGUACUCUGAAGGCCUCUAUGAGGGAACUCGGUCUUCUCAUCUUUUUCCUUUUUAUCGGUGUGGUGCUAUUUUCAUCGGCGGUAUACUUCGCGGAGGCCGGCUCCGAGAAUUCAUUCUUCAAGUCCAUUCCGGACGCGUUCUGGUGGGCCGUUGUCACGAUGACGACCGUGGGCUAUGGUGACAUGACGUAUGAUGCCCGUGGGAGUCUGGGGGAAAAUCGUUGGUUCCCUUUGUGCGAUCGCGGGUGUAUUGACGAUCGCGUUACCCGUCCCCGUCAUCGUCUCCAACUUCAACUACUUCUAUCACCGUGAGACUGACCAGGAAGAGAUGCAGUCACAGAACUUCAAUCACGUGACUAGCUGUCCGUAUCUCCCUGGCACGUUAGGUCAGCACAUGAAGAAGAGCUCGAUGUCGGAGUCGUCGUCGGAUAUAAUGGAGCUGGAAGAAGGCAUUCUACUGGCGCAACCAGAUAUGACGAAGAAGCCCAACUGCAACCCUCGCCACAA